RNAcentral lists this ribosomal RNA (406 nucleotides) under uncultured prokaryote. Its description in RNAcentral is "bacterial SSU rRNA". It matches the Rfam family "Bacterial small subunit ribosomal RNA", at positions 355 to 776 of the family's 1533-position model. The record is from RNAcentral. RNAcentral also lists the same sequence under 1 other name.
UGGGGGAUAUUGCACAAUGGGGGAAACCCUGAUGCAGCAACGCCGCGUGAGGGAAGAAGGUUUUCGGAUUGUAAACCUCUGUCCUCGGUGACGAAACAAAUGACGGUAGCCGAGGAGGAAGCCACGGCUAACUACGUGCCAGCAGCCGCGGUAAUACGUAGGUGGCAAGCGUUGUCCGGAAUUACUGGGUGUAAAGGGUGCGCAGGCGGGUAUUCAAGUCAGAUGUCAAAUCUAUGGGCUCAACCCAUAGUCGCAUUUGAAACUGUAUAUCUUGAGUGAAGUAGAGGUAGGCGGAAUUCCGAGUGUAGCGGUGAAAUGCGUAGAUAUUCGGAGGAACACCAGUGGCGAAGGCGGCCUACUGGGCUUUAACUGACGCUGAGGCACGAAAGCAUGGGGAGCAAACAGG